AGAGUUUGAUCCUGGCUCAGGAUGAACGCUAGCGGCAGGCUUAACACAUGCAAGUCGAGGGGUAAAAAUGGCUUCGGCUAUUUGAGACCGGCAAACGGGUGCGGAACACGUACACAACCUACCUUUAUCAGGGGAAUAGCCCAGAGAAAUUUGGAUUAAUGCCCCAUAGUAUUAUUUGAUGGCAUCAUUAGAUAAUUAAAGAACUUCGGAUAGAGAUGGGUGUGCGUAAGAUUAGCUAGUUGGUAAGGUAACGGCUUACCAAGGCGACGAUCUUUAGCUGAUGUGAGAGCAUGAUCAGCCACACGGGCACUGAGACACGGGCCCGACUCCUACGGGAGGCAGCAGUGAGGAAUAUUGGUCAAUGGACGGAAGUCUGAACCAGCCAUGCCGCGUGAAGGAUGAAGGCGUUCUGCGUUGUAAACUUCUUUUAUUUGAGAAGAAACCACUUUUUCUAAGAGUGUUGACGGUAUCAGAUGAAUAAGCACCGGCUAACUCCGUG
Molecule: ribosomal RNA, 499 nt
Filed under: uncultured Filimonas sp.
Lineage: Bacteria; Pseudomonadati; Bacteroidota; Chitinophagia; Chitinophagales; Chitinophagaceae
Description: bacterial SSU rRNA
Rfam family: Bacterial small subunit ribosomal RNA
Source: RNAcentral